GGGWUUAGUAUUUAGUUGUCAGAGGUGAAAUUCUAGGAUUUACUGAAGACUGACCAAUGCGAAAGCAUUGCCAAGGAUGUUUUCAUUAAUCARGAAMGAAARUWGGGGGRUYGGAGRMGAUCMGAUACCGUUGUAGUUUYUACCCUAAAMUAAGCCGACCAGGGAUCCGGAGAGUUUGUAUGUGUGGCUCCCCUGGCACUUAGGRGAAAUMUAAGUUUUGGGUUUGGGGGGAGUAUGGUCGCAAGGCGAAACUAAAGAAUGACGGAAGGAACCAAGUAUUCC
This 282-nucleotide ribosomal RNA is filed under the name uncultured amoeba. RNAcentral describes it as "partial 18S ribosomal RNA". It matches the Rfam family "Eukaryotic small subunit ribosomal RNA", at positions 898 to 1672 of the family's 1831-position model. The record is from RNAcentral.